Molecule: small RNA, 86 nt
Filed under: Alkalibacterium sp. AK22
Lineage: Bacteria; Bacillati; Bacillota; Bacilli; Lactobacillales; Carnobacteriaceae
Also listed under: 1 other name
Description: SAM-III riboswitch aptamer (SMK box)
Rfam family: SAM-III riboswitch aptamer (SMK box)
Source: Rfam by way of RNAcentral
AAGGUUUACAAUGAAUUCCCGAUAGGACGGCCACAACCGGUCGGAAGCCUUGUAACCGAAUAUUUAAGGGGGAAUAGAAGAAUAUG